This 515-nucleotide ribosomal RNA is filed under the name Nostoc sp. HG1. Its description in RNAcentral is "bacterial SSU rRNA". It matches the Rfam family "Bacterial small subunit ribosomal RNA", at positions 319 to 842 of the family's 1533-position model. The record is from RNAcentral. Lineage: Bacteria; Bacillati; Cyanobacteriota; Cyanophyceae; Nostocales; Nostocaceae.
CUGAGCACGGCCCAGACUCCUCGGGAGGGCAGCAGUGGGGAAUAUUGGACAAUGGGCGAAAGCCGUGAUCCAGCAAUGCCGCGUGAGUGGAUGAAGGCCUUUAGGGUUGUAAAGCUCUUUUACCAGGGAUGAUAAUGACAGUACCUGGAGAAUAAGCUCCGGCUAACUCCGUGCCAGCAGCCGCGGUAAUACGGAGGGAGCUAGCGUUGUUCGGAAUUACUGGGCGUAAAGAGUACGUAGGCGGUGAUUCAAGUCAGAGGUGAAAGCCUGGAGCUCAACUCCAGAACUGCCUUUGAAACUAGAUCGCUAGAAUCAUGGAGAGGGUUAGUGGGAAUUCCGAGUGUAGAGGUGAAAUUCGUAGAUAUUCGGAAGAACACCAGUGGACGAAGGCGACUAAACUUGGACAUGUAUUGACGCUGAGGUACGAAAAGCGUGGGGGAGCAAACAGGAUUAGAUACCCUGGUAGUCCACGCCGUAAACGAUGAUAACUAGCUGUUCGGACUCUCAGAGUUCUG